UGGUCCUAGCCUUACAAUCAACUACUACUUAACUUAUACAUGCAAGUAUCCGCACCCCCGUGAAAACGCCCUUAAACUUCCUUUAGAAAUAAGGAGCUGGUAUCAGGCACAAUUACAAGCCCAAAACACCUAGCCAUGCCACAUCCCCACGGAAAUUCAGCAGUAAUUAAUAUUGAAAAUAAGCGACAGCUUGAUUCAGUCAAAGUAAAAUAGAGCCGGCAAAUCUGGUGCCAGCCGCCGCGGUUACACCACGUGGCUCAAAUUGAUUUUUUCGGCGUAAAGCGUGGUUAAAGUCUCUAAAAUUAUAGUCAAACUACAACUAAGCCGUAGCACGCUUGUAUUUAAGAAGAUCAAAAACGAAAGUUACUAUAAUUAAACCAACUUGAACCCACGACAGUUAGGACACAAACUGGGAUUAGAUACCCCACUAUGCCUCUCCGUAAACUUUAAAUUACAUCCACAUCGCCUGGGAACUACGAGCAAAGCUUAAAACCCAAAGGACUUGACGGUACCCCAUAUCCACCUAGAGGAGCCUGUCCUAUAAUCGAUAACCCCCGUUUAACCUCACCAUUUUUAGCCUAACAGCCUGUAUACCUCCGUCGUCAGCUUACCACGUGAGCGACCCCCAGUAAGCUUAAUGUUUAUACACCAACACGUCAGGUCAAGGUGCAGCAAAUAAAGUGGGAAGAGAUGGGCUACACUCUCUACCCUAGAGUAUACGAAAAACUAUUUAUGAAAUCUAGUCAGAAGGAGGAUUUAGUAGUAAAAGAGGACAAGAGAGCCCCUUUUAACAUGGCACUGGGGUGUGUACACACCGCCCGUCACCCUCUUCGAAGCCAACAAAGAGUUCAUAACACACCACAGCCCAAGAGAAGAGACAAGUCGUAACAUGGUAAGUAUACCGGAAGGUGUACUUGGAAA
RNAcentral lists this non-coding RNA (921 nucleotides) under Phyllodytes luteolus (yellow heart-tongued frog). RNAcentral describes it as "partial 12S ribosomal RNA". It matches the Rfam family "Bacterial small subunit ribosomal RNA". Lineage: Eukaryota; Metazoa; Chordata; Amphibia; Anura; Hylidae. The record is from RNAcentral.